AGUGGCGGCAGCUUUGGACAGUGGCGGCCCGAUAAAUACGCGAACGACGAAUAGGGUGGCGGCAGCUUUGGCACAGCGGCAGCCCGAUGAAUACGCAGGUGAUGAAUAGUAUGGCGGCAGCUUUGGCACAGCGGCGGCCCGAUGAAUGCGCAGGUGACGAAUAUAGUGGCGGCAGCUUUGGACAGUGGCGGCCCGAUGAAUACGCGAACGACGAAUAGGGUGGCGGCAGCUUUGGCACAGCGGCGGCCCGAUGAAUACGUCAGCGGCGAGUAGUAGUGGCGGCAGCUUUGGCACAGCGGCGGCCCGAUGAAUACGUCAGCGGCGAGUAGUA
This is a long non-coding RNA of Musca vetustissima, 331 nucleotides long. RefSeq lists it as uncharacterized. The record is from RefSeq and is a predicted model, not a curated record. The transcript has 3 exons. NCBI's taxonomy places the organism in Eukaryota, Metazoa, Arthropoda, Insecta, Diptera, Muscidae.